UACGUAGGGUGCGAGCGUUGUCCGGAAUUACUGGGCGUAAAGAGCUUGUAGGUGGUUUGUCGCGUUGUUCGUGAAAUCUCACGGCUUAACUGUGGGCGUGCGGGCGAUACGGGCAGACUUGAGUACUGCAGGGGAGACUGGAAUUCCUGGUGUAGCGGUGGAAUGCGCAGAUAUCAGGAGGAACACCGGUGGCGAAGGCGGGUCUCUGGGCAGUAACUGACGCUGAGGAGCGAAAGCGUGGGGAGCGAACAGG
This 253-nucleotide ribosomal RNA is filed under the name uncultured bacterium. RNAcentral describes it as "partial 16S ribosomal RNA". It matches the Rfam family "Bacterial small subunit ribosomal RNA", at positions 524 to 776 of the family's 1533-position model. The record is from RNAcentral.